GGUCAUGAGUGCCAGCAACGAGCCCCGGCUAGCUGGCCGGCAACCCUCCACCGCGGUGGGGUGCCCCGGGUGAUGACCUGGUUUCCUGAUUCACACAACAGUCGGGUGACAAGCGCGGGUC
RNAcentral lists this non-coding RNA (121 nucleotides) under Rhodococcus jostii RHA1. RNAcentral describes it as "SAM (S-adenosyl methionine) riboswitch aptamer". It matches the Rfam family "SAM (S-adenosyl methionine) riboswitch aptamer". Rfam says of the family: SAM-IV is a mRNA element that regulates gene expression via direct sensing of S-adenosylmethionine (SAM or AdoMet). RNAcentral also lists the same sequence under 1 other name. The record is from Rfam by way of RNAcentral. Lineage: Bacteria; Bacillati; Actinomycetota; Actinomycetes; Mycobacteriales; Nocardiaceae.